GGCAGUGGUGGCAUGGUGGUUAUGGCUUUGGGUUACUGAUCGGAAAGUUGUGGGUUCAAGCCUCAGCACUGCCA
Molecule: non-coding RNA, 74 nt
Organism: Ameiurus melas (black bullhead)
Lineage: Eukaryota; Metazoa; Chordata; Actinopteri; Siluriformes; Ictaluridae
Source: the annotation of a GenBank genome assembly